This 101-nucleotide ribosomal RNA is filed under the name Acinetobacter baumannii. RNAcentral's name for it is "partial 23S ribosomal RNA". The stretch from base 1 to 89 matches the Rfam family "Bacterial large subunit ribosomal RNA", at positions 2837 to 2925 of the family's 2925-position model. Lineage: Bacteria; Pseudomonadati; Pseudomonadota; Gammaproteobacteria; Moraxellales; Moraxellaceae. RNAcentral also lists the same sequence under 14 other names. The record is from RNAcentral.
GUUGAAGACGACGACGUUGAUAGGCCGGGUGUGUAAGCGCAGCGAUGCGUUGAGCUAACCGGUACUAAUGAACCGUGAGGCUUAACCUUACAACGCCGAAG